AGGUAAAUAUGAAGUGCCUAAUUUUGCUUUAGCAAGAGAACUGACUGUAGUUUUAUUAACACCGGUUGAUGCUAUUUAGCAUUUGGGUUGCGGCCGGAUUAUUCCUUAUGUGGGGUCAUUCUAGUGGGAUAGGAAUAAGAUCUAUUUUGAUUGACGCGAUGUGUAUUAUUAUGUCGCUAAUGAUAAGUAGGCUCUCUGAAUGGUUAGAUCAUAUGAUGCAAGAACUAUCUUCGUAUCCAAACAGCAUUGCAGUAGCAUCUCAACACAAAGAGCCUUAGCUGGAGAAAGUUUCACAUCAUCUGCUUAGUCUUUUGCAGCCUUAGCUGAUUAUGUAAAACAAUUCCUGAUUAAGGCUCUUGGAAUUGAGAUGCUAAAGCUUCCUUUUUAAGGACAUUAUAUUCCGAGCAAAAAGAAAAAGUGAUGUUUGAGUAUGAAGAUUGUCUGUUGAUUUUGAGAAUCAUUUAGAAGAUCUCAUGAAGCCAGUGACUAGGGUCAGGCAUUCGUGAUUGUAAAUUGUCGGCAUUUUACUUCCCCGUCCAUCUCUAUGGUUGUACCAAUUACCCACGGCGAUGAAAAAACCAAUAAUAGUAUGUGAGACGAUGAUGACAAUUCACACCAACUUUAAUAAUGUUGAUUUGGACCACAUUUUUCGUCAACUUGACGGGGUGAAAUUUUCAGGUGGAAGGGCCAGCAGUUCUUGCAGCCACAAAGUAGAAGUUUUGUCCUGAUAGGGCGCUGCGUGGUCAUCUUCAAAAUCUAAAUCUGUAUCCGUUUCCUCCUAGAAGAAGUGAGGUUUUUAUGUGGCGUUGGAUGCAAGGCAUACAUGAGGAGCCAGUAAAUACCUAGAAGAAGUGAGUGAGUGUUGAUAAGAGUGUGUUUCUCGUGUAGUUUCUGCUCGUUGUAUUCUAAACUUCUACCAACGUACAGCUAUGCUUUUGUUGAUCUAAAAAUAAUGUUGUAUUAAGGACCGGUUUGGAGUUAAUUAAGAAGUUUAUUUAGUAAUAAUAUCGUAAUUGCUUCCUCUCCAUUGAAUGGAGGAGCAACCAAUGCAAUUGCUCCUUCUGCACCUCCAAUCGCACAUUUUUCUUUUCAGUUGCAAGGCUCAUCAAAACUGAAUGUGAUUUUGUUUGAACUGAAAAUAAGGAAACUAACGAA
Molecule: long non-coding RNA, 1155 nt
Filed under: Malus domestica (apple)
Lineage: Eukaryota; Viridiplantae; Streptophyta; Magnoliopsida; Rosales; Rosaceae
Description: long non-coding RNA (MDOM_LNC016287)
Source: RNAcentral